AGCAGCCGCGGUAAUUCCAGCUCCAAUAGCGUAUAUUAAAGUUGUUGCAGUUAAAAAGCUCGUAGUUGAAUUUUGGAUUCUGCCAGUUGGUCCAUCUUUUGAUGAGUACUGAUUGUGUGGGGUCUAUCCGCCUGGUGAUACGUAAUGUACUUUAUUGUAUGUUGCGGGUAGUCAGGACCUUUACCUUGAAAAAUUAGAGUGUUUAAAGCAGGCUUAUGCCGGAAUACAUUAGCAUGGGAUAAUAGAAUAGGACGAUGUUGUUUUAUUUUGUUGGUUUCUAGGACAACCGUAAUGAUUAAUAGGGAUAGUUGGGGGCAUUAGUAUUCAAUUGUCAGAGGUGAAAUUCUUGGAUUUAUUGAAGACUAACUACUGCGAAAGCAUUUGCCAAGGAUGUUUUCAUUAAUCAAGAACGAAAGUUAGGGGAUCGAAGACGAUCAGAUACCGUCGUAGUCUUAACCAUAAACUAUGCCGACUAGGGAUCGGGCGAUGUUGUUUCAAUGACUCGCUCGGCACCUU
Molecule: ribosomal RNA, 516 nt
Filed under: uncultured Archaeospora
Lineage: Eukaryota; Fungi; Glomeromycota; Glomeromycetes; Archaeosporales; Archaeosporaceae
Description: SSU rRNA
Rfam family: Eukaryotic small subunit ribosomal RNA
Source: RNAcentral